GACGAACGCUGGCGGCGCGCUUAACACAUGCAAGUCGAACGGAAAGGCCUGCUUUCCCUUGUGGAUUGCGGGUACUCGAGUGGCGAACGGGUGAGUAACACGUGAGUGAUCUGCCCCCAACUUGGGUAUAAGCCUGGGAAACUGGGUCUAAUUCCCGAUAGGACUGCAGGGUGGUGCCUGUGGUUGAAAACGAUUUUCUAGUGGUUGGGGAUGAGCUCGCGGCCUAUCAGCUUGUUGGUGGGGUAAUGGCCUACCAAGGCGGCGACGGGUAGCCGGCCGGAGAGGGUGGACGGCCACAUUGGGACUGAGAGACGGCCCAGACACCGACGGGAGGCAGCAGUGGGGAAUAUUGCACAAUGGGCGGAAGCCUGAUGCAGCGACGCCGCGUGGGGGAUGACGGCCUUCGGGUUGUAAACUCCUUUCGACCGAGAGGAAGCCACCUGGUUGGAAGGGUGGUGACGGUAGUGGUAGAAGAAGCACCGGCUAACUACGUG
Molecule: ribosomal RNA, 494 nt
Filed under: uncultured bacterium
Lineage: Bacteria
Description: partial 16S ribosomal RNA
Rfam family: Bacterial small subunit ribosomal RNA
Source: RNAcentral